Molecule: long non-coding RNA, 2627 nt
Filed under: Salvia miltiorrhiza (redroot sage)
Lineage: Eukaryota; Viridiplantae; Streptophyta; Magnoliopsida; Lamiales; Lamiaceae
Description: long non-coding RNA (SMIL_LNC006880)
Source: RNAcentral
AUAACAUAUCCAUAAUUAAUUAUCCAACAUUAACAAUCUUACAUCCAUAUUAUAUAAUACAAUAUCCUACAAGUUUGGAUUAAUGUUUAAAUCCACCCUAAACUAAUACAAACAAAAAAAGUUCAAAAUAGUAGCCGUUGGAACAUCAUAUCCAAAAGUAACAAAGGUCUUCAUAACCAAUAUUGUCCUUUCACUUGUCAAUCUACAAAGCAAAGUAGUUUAAAGAGUUAUAUGCAUUAUUUAGAUAUUACAAUAGAGAGAUAUAAAUUUUAUGGAUUAUUUGACAAACCUCAUGGAUCACACAAGGUAUUACUACAAGAAGCUAUAAAGCAUUUACUCCUUUUCCCCUGCACCUGUCCAAGCAACACUUUUCUAAAAAAUUAACCUUGAUUUCGAUUCAAUCAACAAUAAACUUCUUACAAUAAAGGCACAAAGGUCCAAGUGAAGAAUGAAAAAUAGAAAUCUUGAAUAUCAUAUUAUGUAAUACACAUAACAAGAAGCACUUAGGUAAUAUAUUCAUUUCGAAUGCAUUAUUUUAACCAUAAAGCAGUUUAAUGAGUCGGUAAAAUAUCAAUUUUAUAAAUAAAUAAGGGAAUGAUUUCGAGACAAUUUAUCCUUUCAUUCACAAAAGAUUAUACAAAACAUCAAAACAGGUGAAUACGAAAAAGAAUAAAACAAAGACUAUAAAAGCAUAGAAGGCAAUUGGGGUGACAUUUGGUAGGGAAUUAAUAAUAUUGGAAUAACAGAUGUACUAGAUAACUAAUGGAUGCUUGAAUGUUAGAUAACUAAUGUAUGCUUCUGUUAAGAAUAAAUUGUUCCAAAUUCCCAAACAUUCAUUUUCAAAAACAGCAAAUGGGAUAAUUUUUCAAAAUUGUUUAUAUAAAUGUUAGAUCAACGGAGCUACGACUAAGUCAUAUGUACAGUAACACGAUAUCAUUCUGUUGGUUGUCAUUUUGACAGUAGAUUAUAUAGAUUUAAUAUGUUAAAUCAACAUAAGAUCAGAUUGAAGCACCAAGUUUCUGAAUUUUCAAAUUCUCAAGUGAUGGCUUGUACUAAGCAGACCGCUCGUAAAUCUACCGGUGGAAAGGCCCCAAGGAAGCAGCUUGCUACCAAGGCUGCGAGGAAAUCAGCUCCGACUACCGGCGGAGUGAAGAAGCCCCACCGCUACUGCCCUGGAACCGUCGCUCUUCGUGAAAUCAGGAAAUACUAGAAGAGCACGGAGCUUCUAAUCCGCAAGCUGCCGUUCCAGCGAUUGGUUCGUGAAAUCGCUCAGGAUUUCAAGACUGAUUUGAGGUUCCAGAGCCACGCUGUGCUGGCGCUACAGGAGGCGGCGGAGGCGUAUUUGGUGGGGCUAUUUGAGGAUACAAAUCUGUGCGCGAUUCACGUGAAGAGGGUCACCAUCAUGCCCAAGGAUAUCCAGCUUGCUAGGCGGAUUCGCGGCGAGCGUGCUUGAUUUGGUGGUUAAUGCAAUUUGAUUUAGGGUUUCUAGUAGUAUUAGAUAAAGUUAAUAGUUUGGUUUUUAUCGUUUUCUAGACUGUGUCCUGAGGAUAGGGCAUUAUAGGCAUAAUGUGGUUGGGAUUUUAUAAUUGUUUUCUGUAAAUUUUUACAGAUUCUACUCAAGAAAUUGUUUUUUGCUUACUACAGUUUUUAUCUUUACGCUUUAUAUAUAAAAAAAACAUAAGAUCAGACCACAUUUAAUAAUUUAAUAGAUCAAAUCUCAUAUUAUAAGGAUCAAUUGAGUUCCAACUCAAUGUGUACAAUUUAGAUUUGAUAGAUUUCACUCUAAGAAGCUGGAUUGUUGAUAGGUUAAUGAUGUACUCACAAUCUUGGAUGGACUUUCUCAGGAUGAACAAGGCUAACUUGCAGUAGGUGCUCGUACAUUAGAUAGUUAUGCAUGCAUUCUUCAACAACUUUCGCGACCUGCAUCAGUCAGAAAAAACUCAUUUGUGAGAAAGGGGGACAAUGGAGAGCAUGCAAGGAAUAUAUUAUAUUUUAUUAAAUAGAAUAGUACAACCUCAGGAGACACAAAUUCAAUGAAUCCAAAAAUGUCCUGAUUUCCAUGUCUGUUCAAAAGAAAAAAGAAACAAGAUGCAUUAACGGAGGACUGGAUAUCUUGUCUUAUUGCAAUUUGCACAGUUCAAUAUUAGUAUAUUACCCUCUUCGAAACUUUAAAAUACACAUAAUCAAGUUACCAAGUGCGUUUUUACUUUGAUUGAUGAAUAAAAAAUGUUCGAUCUCACAUAUACACUAAUAUGUCAACAAGCUGAAAACUACACAAAGUAGUCAUUCCGAUUCCAAGAACAGUAAAAGGAAACACUAAACUACUUUUAGAAUAUAGUUCUUAAAUUUAGAACCAGACAACUUAAGUCUAUCCAGCAUUCAAAGAUGUGAAGUGAAAAGAAAUUGAUCACUAGUCUAAAGUUCUUAAAGUUCAUGUGAUGCAAAAUUGUGUUUGCAGUCAUAAUACUAAACCUAAAUAUCAUAUUCAUUAAGAGAAGCAAUUUGAAAAUGUUUAUCACCACAAUGUACUAGAUAACUAAUGGAUGCUUGAAUAAAUAGCAUAAUAGAAGAUGCAAAAUUAUGAUUGACUAACUUACAGCCUCAAAUUACUCAAACUUCCAAGGUUU